Molecule: long non-coding RNA, 283 nt
Filed under: Citrus x clementina
Lineage: Eukaryota; Viridiplantae; Streptophyta; Magnoliopsida; Sapindales; Rutaceae
Description: Citrus clementina (C. clementina) long non-coding RNA (CCLE_LNC000116)
Source: RNAcentral
GGUAACAAAUAUUACCAAUCGGUACCUUCAUUAUUAGGAUUUAGAAUGUUGAUUACAAUGAACGAAAUCAAUCCUCACAUGCAUAGGGGGCUGUACUAAUUUAGCCACCUCAAUAACAUUUAACCCAAAAAGAAAAGGUUAAUUAAAUUUGCUAACUAAUACCCAGGUACAAAGAAGAGUUCAUUAAUUAAAAUAAAAGGAUACACUUAAUUCAGGGGUCAAAAUGAGUCUAGCCCAUUGCAGCUACAACAGAAAGUAAAAGAAACAAUGUGAGAUAUUGCCA